Molecule: ribosomal RNA, 453 nt
Filed under: uncultured bacterium
Lineage: Bacteria
Description: bacterial SSU rRNA
Rfam family: Bacterial small subunit ribosomal RNA
Source: RNAcentral
UCGGGAGGCAGCAGUGGGGAAUAUUGCACAAUGGGCGCAAGCCUGAUGCAGCCAUGCCGCGUGUAUGAAGAAGGCCUUCGGGUUGUAAAGUACUUUCAGCGGGGAGGAAGGCGGUGAAGUUAAUAGCUUCACCGAUUGACGUUACCCGCAGAAGAAGCACCGGCUAACUCCGUGCCAGCAGCCGCGGUAAUACGGAGGGUGCAAGCGUUAAUCGGAAUUACUGGGCGUAAAGCGCACGCAGGCGGUCUGUCAAGUCGGAUGUGAAAUCCCCCGGGCUUAAACCUGGGAACUGCAUUCGAAACUGGCAGGCUAGAGUCUUGUAGAGGGGGUUAGAAUUCCAGGUGUAGCGGUGAAAUGCGUAGAGAUCUGGAGGAAUACCGGUGGCGAAGGCGGCCCCUGGACAAAGCUGACGCUCAGGUGCGAAAGCGUGGGGAGCAAACGAGAUUAGAUACC